Molecule: ribosomal RNA, 301 nt
Filed under: uncultured bacterium
Lineage: Bacteria
Description: partial 16S ribosomal RNA
Rfam family: Bacterial small subunit ribosomal RNA
Source: RNAcentral
CAUUAGCCGCGGGAAUACGAAGGGUGCAAGCGUUAAUCGGAAUUACUGGGCGUAAAGCGCACGUAGGCGGAUCAGAAAGUCAGAGGUGAAAUCCCAGGGCUCAACCUUGGAACUGCCUUUGAAACUCCUGAUCUUGAGGUCGAGAGAGGUGAGUGGAAUUCCGAGUGUAGAGGUGAAAUUCGUAGAUAUUCGGAGGAACACCAGUGGCGAAGGCGGCUCACUGGCUCGAUACUGACGCUGAGGUGCGAAAGCGUGGGGAGCAAACAGGAUUAGAUACCCCCGUAGUCCCUGUCUCUUAUAC